Non-coding RNA from Sardina pilchardus (European sardine), 777 nucleotides. NCBI's taxonomy places the organism in Eukaryota, Metazoa, Chordata, Actinopteri, Clupeiformes, Clupeidae. The record is from the annotation of a RefSeq genome assembly.
UUUGAGAUAUCAAAUGAGUGUAUCAAAUGUUUUAUUUUCAGACUGAGCUCAUCGUCCUUUAUAGUCAAUGGGAUAUUUUAGUCUAAAAAAGCCAUCCACCAGUCCCUGUCACCUACAACCACAUGGUGGCGCCAUUACAGCUCCCUACACUUACCAUGUCAUUCAUUCUGUACUGUACAAGGCAGCAGAGGUAACACACUGCAUUUCAUAGCACACUGAGAUGACAACCUGAUGAACUGAAUUCCUCCUCUCCUCAGAAAAGCUGUUCAGACAUGGAUAUUGUGGAAUUGCGACUGUGGAAUACAUUCCUAUUUGCUCUUUGUUGCUUUGAAUGCAGAGCUGAGGACUCGGUUGAUCAGCCAGGAGGAUUUAUCACUGCUACUGAGGGAGGUUCAGUAACUCUGCCCUGUACUUACACCAGCACCAGUUCAGUGCCGUAUCUGUUCUGGUACCAACAGAAACCUAAUGGAUUCCCUGCAUACAUACUGUGGAAAUUCUCAACAACAGGGUCCAAAGAUGACAUUUUUAAAGAGAGAUAUGACGCCAAUCUCACCUCAAACUCAGUUCCUCUGACCAUCCAGGAUAUGCAGGUGUCUGACUCUGCUGUGUACUACUGUGCUCUGAGGCCCACAGUGACAGCUGCAGACUCAAUGUUCAUGCAAAAACACAGGCUCCGUAGUCACACAGAGAAUUCAUAUUGAUAGAGGAUAACAUCUUUAUGUUUAAAGAUUGUGAUAUUGUAUUACUAUAAUAUAUUUUACAAAGUUGAUCCGUCAA